CACGGGGGAUGCGAGCGUUAUCCGGAUUUAUUGGGUUUAAAGGGCGCGUAGGCGGGAUGCCAAGUCAGCGGUAAAAGACUGCAGCUAAACUGUAGCACGCCGUUGAAACUGGUGACCUAGAGAGAAGUCGAGGGAGGCGGAACAAGUGAAGUAGCGGUGAAAUGCUUAGAUAUCACUUGGAACCCCGAUAGCGAAGGCAGCUUCCCAGUCUUUGUCUGACGCUGAUGCGCGAGAGCGUGGGUAGCGAACAGG
RNAcentral lists this ribosomal RNA (252 nucleotides) under uncultured bacterium. RNAcentral describes it as "partial 16S ribosomal RNA". It matches the Rfam family "Bacterial small subunit ribosomal RNA", at positions 524 to 776 of the family's 1533-position model. The record is from RNAcentral.